UUGACCUCAAAUCAGGUAKGACUACCCGUCUGAACUUAAGCAUAUCAAUAAGCGGA
This 56-nucleotide ribosomal RNA is filed under the name uncultured soil eukaryote. RNAcentral's name for it is "partial 28S ribosomal RNA". The record is from RNAcentral.